Chiloscyllium plagiosum (whitespotted bambooshark) is the source of this 547-nucleotide non-coding RNA. The record is from RefSeq and is a predicted model, not a curated record. NCBI's taxonomy places the organism in Eukaryota, Metazoa, Chordata, Chondrichthyes, Orectolobiformes, Hemiscylliidae.
GCAUUCAUCCUUGUGGCACAAUGCUGGUCACAGGCCUUCAAUCUGAAAAGCAACCCUCCACAACCAUCCUCUGACUUCUACAUUCGAGCCACCUGGAACAAUUAAUUCUGUUUCAUAUCCAGAAAACUGUAAAAUCAAAACUAGCCUGACAUCCAACAGCUACAAAAAAAAAGUGCAGAUGCAUUGAGUGGAUUACUAGCCUAUUUCAGUGGACAUUUAAGAGUCAACCAUUGAGAGUUUGAGGGUCAGGAAUCAGAUGUACAUUAGAUUCGAUCUAGACCAGGUGGAAAGAAAGAGGAUGCCCAAAUUACUCAAAAGCCAAGGAGAAAUAUGGCAUAAAUGUGAUUUAUGAAAAGAAAGACUGGAAACAAUCAUGUCACCAUUAGAGACAAGGAUGUGAUUAAGAGAACACUUCUCGCAGCGGUAGUGUCCUGGUCUUGGGGCCAAGAGUUCUGGAUUCAAGUCCCAACUGCUCCGGGAUAUAUAAUAUUUCUUACAGGUUGAUUAGAAAACAUCUACAAAAGGUGAUUAUAACAGAUGAAAACUA